This 1298-nucleotide ribosomal RNA is filed under the name Ironus dentifurcatus. Its description in RNAcentral is "SSU rRNA". It matches the Rfam family "Eukaryotic small subunit ribosomal RNA", at positions 86 to 1381 of the family's 1831-position model. The record is from RNAcentral. Lineage: Eukaryota; Metazoa; Nematoda; Enoplea; Enoplida; Ironidae.
GCCGCGAAUAGCUCAUUACAACAGCCUCUGUUUAUUAGAUCUUUCUUUCCUACUUGGAUAACUGUGGCAAUUCUAGAGCUAAUACAUGCAACAAAGCCCUGACCGUAAGGAAGGGGUGCACUUAUUAGAACAAAACCAAUCGAGCCUCUGGCUCGUCAAUUGGUGAAUCUGAAUAAUUUUGCCGAUCGAACGGUCUUUGAACCGUCGACGUAUCUUUCAAAUGUCUGCCUUAUCAACUUUCGAUGGUAGUAUAUAGGACUACCAUUGUGAUAACGGGUAACGGAGAAUUAGGGUUCGACUCCGGAGAGGGAGCCUGAGAAACGGCUACCACAUCCAAGGAAGGCAGCAGGCACGCAAAUUACCCACUCCCGGCAAGGGGAGGUAGUGACGAACAAAUAACGAGGCAGUUCUCUACGAGGCCUGUCAUCGGAAUGAAUACAAUUUAAAUCCUUUAAUGAGGAUCUAUUGGAGGGCAAGUCUGGUGCCAGCAGCCGCGGUAAUUCCAGCUCCAAUAGCGUAUAUUAAAGUUGUUGACGGUUAAAAAGCUCCAGUAGUUGGAUCUGUGGUCAUGUGAAGUGGUCGCCCAGUGGGGUUGUUACUGCUUACACAGGCCAAGUUUUUCUAGCGCACUCUUGGUGCUCUUAAAUGAGUGUCUUGAGUAGCUAGUAUGUUUACUUUGAAAAAAUUAGAGUGCUUAAAGCAGACGCUUGUUUGAAUAGUGGUGCAUGGAAUAAUGGAAUAGGACCUUGAGUCCAUUUUGUUGGUUUACAGUCUCGAGGUAAUGAUUAAGAGGGACAGGCGGGGACAUUCGUAUUGCGACGUUCGAGGUUGAACGCUUGGAUCGUCGCAAGACGAACUACUGCGAAAGCAUUUUGCAAGAAUGUUUUCGUUAACCAAUAACGAAAGUUCUUCGUGCUUGGGCGAUAAGGUACCGCCCUAGUUCUAACCUUAAACGAGGCAAACUAGCGAUAAGUGGGCGUCAAAAAUAUGACUCCUCGGGCAGCUCCCUGGAAACCCUUUGUUUUCUGUGCCCGGGGAUGUUACGAUUGGAUGGCUUAACUUAAAGGAGUUGUUGGAACGGCACCACCAGGAGUGGAGCCUGCGGCUUAAUUUGACUCAACGCGGGAAAUCUCACCCGGCCCUGAAGAUUUAACCUAACUGCGUCAUUUAGCUCUUUCUUGAUUCGGUGGGUGGUGGUGCAUGGCCGUUCUUAGUUGGUGGAGCGAUUUGUCUGGUUAAUUCCGAUAACGAACGAGACUCUAGCCUACUAAAUAGUGAAUAAAUUCUUUGGUUUGUUA